UAGCGACCCCAGGUCAGGCGGGACU
RNAcentral lists this ribosomal RNA (25 nucleotides) under Cestrum dasyanthum. RNAcentral's name for it is "partial 25S ribosomal RNA". Lineage: Eukaryota; Viridiplantae; Streptophyta; Magnoliopsida; Solanales; Solanaceae. RNAcentral also lists the same sequence under 2 other names. The record is from RNAcentral.